GCCCGAAUUAGAAAAAGAAGGUCCCGCCUGCCCGGUGACAUUAUUUUAACGGCCGCGGUACUCUAACCGUGCGAGGGUAGCGUAAUCACUUGUCUUUUAAAUGAACACCUGUAUGAAUGGCAAAAAGAGGGCUUAACUGUCUCCUUUUUCCAGUCAAUGAAAUUGAUCUCCCCGUGCAGAAGCGGGGAUAGUAACAUAAGACGAGAAGACCCUAUGGAGCUUUACACACUAAGACAGACCAAGUUAAAUACCCCACAAUAAAAGGCCGAACUCAUUGAUCCCCUGUCCUAAUGUCUUCGGUUGGGGCGACCAUGGGAGAACACAAAACCCCCGUGUGGAAUAGGAGGACAAUCCCAUAUUUCUCUUUCCCUUCCUCCCACAAGCAAGAGUUACAACUCUAGCUAACAUAACUUCUGACCUUAACACGAUCCAGGCUUACGCACGAUCAACGGACCAAGUUACCCUAGGGAUAACAGCGCAAUCCCCUUUUAGAGGCCAUAUCGACGAGGGGGUUUACGACCUCGAUGUUGGAUCACGACAUCCUAAUGGUGCAGCCGCUGUUAAGGGUUCGUUUGUUCAACGAUCAAAGUCCUACGUGAUCUGAAUUCGGAACCGGA
This 617-nucleotide ribosomal RNA is filed under the name Selar crumenophthalmus (bigeye scad). Its description in RNAcentral is "partial large subunit ribosomal RNA". It matches the Rfam family "Bacterial large subunit ribosomal RNA", at positions 1823 to 2621 of the family's 2925-position model. The record is from RNAcentral. Lineage: Eukaryota; Metazoa; Chordata; Actinopteri; Carangiformes; Carangidae.